RNAcentral lists this long non-coding RNA (848 nucleotides) under Lupinus angustifolius (narrow-leaved blue lupine). RNAcentral's name for it is "long non-coding RNA (LANG_LNC000306)". Lineage: Eukaryota; Viridiplantae; Streptophyta; Magnoliopsida; Fabales; Fabaceae. The record is from RNAcentral.
UUAUCAGUGUUGGCACGAAUAAACUAAAGAAUAAAACAAGGCAACAAAUUGGAAAAGAAAGUAAUUAAGGGUAAUUUCCCUGAUGGUUUCACGCAGAAACGUGAAUUGGAAAGGAAAAUGGGAUUGAAAUCCCUAAUCCCCAACUUCUCCUUCUUCAAUGGCAGCGGCGGUAAAGGGCGCCGUUCGUGGCUAGGACCAGGCGGGUGUGAUUCACGAUAAGGGAACAAGAGGGCGCGACGGGGAAGCGAUAGUGAAUGACCUUCAUCCUCCAGCGGUGAUGAACAACAAUCACGGCCAAGGGUGGUUCACGGUUGUAGCGCGGUGGUGUAUAUUUGCGAGUUCUUCUUCUCUUAAUCAUCACGGGUUUCAUUUUUCGGUUCGUGAAGUUCUUAACCCAAAGUACCUCUAAUUCGAGAUGGGUACAAAGGAUGGUGAGUUAUGUUUUGUUUGGUGUAACGAUGAUAGAGCCACUAAUGGCUGACUCCGAAUCGGGUAACUACUGCUUCAUUAAUUUUUGUCAAUUCAUUGCCUUAAGUUGAUUAUCGGUUUUCUUGUUCUUCCAUGAACUCAUACAAUUUCGAUUGAUCUUUACAGAAUGUUAAUCCCGAGUCAUUGACCCGAAGUCAGCUAGAGAAUAUCGGAGAUAUACGCUGUAUCGACUGAACUGAGGCGUCUUCCAUUGGUGAUUAUUCUCAACCGACCAGAGGAGAGGUAAACAUUCUCCUUAUUUCUCAUGAAGCCUUACCGAUUGUAUGAGUUUCGUUAGUGUUCCAGAUUAGUAAUGAUAAAGGAAUAAUCUUUUUAUUAUUGAAUUCUUGCCUAAUCCUUAGCUGAUGGAAACAUAUAGA